AAGACUAACUUAUAGGCUUCCUAUGUUUCCAGUAGUGAACUUCAUUUCCUGAGAAGAAUGAAGCAAAAGGAUUCUUCUGAAACCUUUACUUGAAAUCUUUAUUGGAGCAAACAGUAAAACAAUAGGAUAAAGUUAUAUCACAUCCUGAUGUCAUCUAUCAACCUGAUUAGAAAACUAAGCCAUCAUCAUUCAUUCUGUCAGUAUCUUUUGCACACUGGUGGUACCUGCCUUACUUCCUGGAAGAGCAGCAGAUAUGAAACCUGAGAUCCAGGAAGUCGCCACCUCAUGGACUCCGUUAUGACAGGAAACUGCAAUACAACACUC
RNAcentral lists this long non-coding RNA (324 nucleotides) under Chinchilla lanigera (long-tailed chinchilla). RNAcentral's name for it is "lncRNA (ENSCLAG00000026501.1)". Lineage: Eukaryota; Metazoa; Chordata; Mammalia; Rodentia; Chinchillidae. The record is from RNAcentral.